This 104-nucleotide small nuclear RNA is filed under the name Balaenoptera musculus (blue whale). Lineage: Eukaryota; Metazoa; Chordata; Mammalia; Artiodactyla; Balaenopteridae. The record is from RNAcentral.
ACGCUAGCUUCGGCAGCACAUAUACUAAAACUGACACAGUACAAAGGUUAGCACGGCCCCUGCCCAAGGAUGAUAGGCAAAUUCAUGAAGCAUUCCAUAUUUUU